CAGCAGCAGCCACGGUAAUACAGAGGGUGCGAGCGUUAAUCGGAUUUACUGGGCGUAAAGCGUGCGUAGGCGGCUUCUUAAGUCGGAUGUGAAAUCCCUGAGCUUAACUUAGGAAUUGCAUUCGAUACUGGGAAGCUAGAGUAUGGGAGAGGAUGGUAGAAUUCCAGGUGUAGCGGUGAAAUGCGUAGAGAUCUGGAGGAAUACCGAUGGCGAAGGCAGCCAUCUGGCCUAAUACUGACGCUGAGGUACGAAAGCAUGGGGAGCAAACAGGAUUAGAUACCCCAGUAGUCCCUGUCUCUUAUAC
Molecule: ribosomal RNA, 304 nt
Filed under: uncultured bacterium
Lineage: Bacteria
Description: partial 16S ribosomal RNA
Rfam family: Bacterial small subunit ribosomal RNA
Source: RNAcentral